UCAGCUCAGACAGGUGGCUGUUGUUGAUGAGGCAUAAUUUAGGUAGAAUUUAAAUGUGUUUUGACGGUUGUGUUUACUCAUACAACCGCUACUCAGAAUACAGACCAUUUUCCCAGGAAGUUCCCUCAUGCCCAUCUCCAGUGAGUUGGCACCUUCAUCUCCCAGAUCAGCUGCUAUUCUGACUUCUGUCACUGUAGGUGAGUUCGUUCUUGGACUUCAUACAAAUGGAGUCAUUCAGUAUUUUCUUUCCUUUUGUGCCUGGCUUCUUUUACUCAACGUGGCUUUUUUUGUUUUUUGUUUUUUGUGUUUUUUGAGACGGAGUCUCGCUCUGUCACCCAGGCUGGAGUGCAGUGGUACAAUCUCUGCUCACUGCAAGCUCCGCCUCCUGGGUUCACGCCAUUCUCCUGCCUCAGCCUCCCGAGUAGCUGGGACUACAGGCACCUGCCACCACGCCCGGCUAAUUUUUUGUAUUUUUAGUAGAGACGGGGUUUCACUGUGUUAGCCAGGAUGGUCUCAAUCUCCUGACCUUGUGAUCCGCCCACCUCGGCCUCCCAAAGGGCUGGGAUUACAGGUGUGAGCCACCGCGCCCGGCCUACUCAACAUGGUUUUGAGAUUCCACCAUGUAAUUGCAUAUCACAGCUCAUUUUUUUUAAUUGCUGACUGAUACUCAAUUUUAUGAAUAUAACAAUUUGCUCAUUCAUUCUUAUAAUGGUGGACAUUUGGUUUAUUUCUAGAUUUUUUAAUCUAUUAUAAGGAAGACUGCCAUGAACAUUCUUGUGUAAAUCUUCUUGUAGAUAGAUAGAUGUUUCAUUUCUCUUGAGUAAAUACCUAGGAGUAGAACUGCUUUUACUGUAUAAGAAAGUGUCAAACAGUCAUCGGAAGUGAUCGGACCAUCGUUUGUCCACGAGAGGUCCAGCAGCUCCACAUUCUCACCAACACUUACUUUGCUUUUUGUGAGUUUUUUAGCUAUUCUAGCACAUGUGAAAUGGUUUCAUUGGUGCCAUCAAGCGAUCCUUCUGCCUCAGCCACCACAUAGCUAGGGCUGCAGCACUAUGCCCAGCUAAUGUUUUUUAUGUUUGUA
This 1081-nucleotide long non-coding RNA is filed under the name Pan troglodytes (chimpanzee). RNAcentral describes it as "lincRNA". The record is from RNAcentral. Lineage: Eukaryota; Metazoa; Chordata; Mammalia; Primates; Hominidae.